Long non-coding RNA from Zalophus californianus (California sea lion), 2201 nucleotides. RefSeq lists it as uncharacterized. The record is from RefSeq and is a predicted model, not a curated record. The transcript has 3 exons. Lineage: Eukaryota; Metazoa; Chordata; Mammalia; Carnivora; Otariidae.
GUCCCGUUCUCCACGAUGCAGACGUCUUGGCAGGCCCAGCUAUGGCAAGAACGUGGUCAUGAGCUUGGAAGUAAGAAAAAUAAAGGAUCUCUGGUAUUCUGAUUCUAAAUUGAGCGUCCUUUCCAUAACAACCAUGAUUGCUGGAGUGUGACAGACGCUAUCUGGCUGGCUGACUCAUUUGACCUUCGGGAGCAGGUGAAAGCCAGCUCUUCGAGCCUCGCACGGAGGACCCCCGUUCCUUCCCACUCAAGCUCGUCAUUAAGAAUGGCAUAAUCCAGGAUCGCUAAAAUACCACACUGAUAAGCACAAGCUUUUCUUAAGCUUUACUUCCCUUUUUGGCGUACGGAUUUUCAAAAAUAUUUACUGACAAUAAUAUUUUAAGAUCAUCCUUUCUGAGUUAUUGACAAAUUGGUUAAUUAGUUCUGGAAAUGCUUACUCUGUGGUGAGACGAGAAUGUCUGGCAAAGCCAAGCCAAUGAUGACUAAAUCCGUCUCCAUGGAAGGGAUGAACACGGGAAUGAGAACAGCAGGGCUGUCAGUCUGUGAUGGAGAAGGCGGCAGUAAGUAGCUUGAACGCAAAUUCGCUGAAAGGUAAGAUUGAGAAAAACAGAUUAUGCCAAUUGCUUUGAAUGCUGUUAAAAUAUGAUUUUUCUCAUUUGUUAAAUCUUUGAACAUUUUACAUCUUCGUAGCAGGAACAUUUAUGUCCUUUCCCGGAUAUGGGACACAACUGUGUUAAUAAUGUCAGCCUAGAGAAGGCAGGACGAAUGCAUUACCCUCUAUGGAUGAACUACAUCAGCCAUCUAGUCAUGUUUUUAAAAAUCGGGCUACUGAUGCCCCACCCACCCCCAGUUGCCAGUGUCUUAGGUGGAACCUCAUGAGAAUCCUGGAGAAGCACAGUACUGUGUGUUUUCAUUGUUGGGUUUCAGAUACAAGGUCAACGGUGUACUCUGUCCAUUCGCUGGCUGAGGUGUCCCUCAGAACAGGGCUCACCCUGAGUACCAGCCUGGAGGCUGGAGUAUGGAAAUGAGGCUUCCUGUCCUGGCCCUGGUCACCAAGGACAGAUGCUGAGGAUGAUAAGGAGCAAGAGAGACAGAAAGCCUGGAGUGACCUCGGAAAAAGAGGUGGCGACCUUGAGCACAAGCAAGCUGACGGAGGGUGCUGCAGUCUGAGGUGUGGACGCUCCAGGCAGAUUAUUUCCUAUCUACGGAAAGAAACGAUUUAAAGUGCCAUGUCUAAAUAUAGCCUUAUUAGCCUGGUCACAUGCAACCUAGUCAAUCAGAUUAGAUCUUUUUAUUUCAAACUCUUUCAUUAUUCUUAUUUUAGAGUAAAUCUUCAAGUGCCUUUUCAGCCAUGUUUUCAUUUCUCAUCAGGUCAACCUGAUGCCGUAAGUAUAAUCUGAAACAAUUUUAGACACAUGGACAUUUAAAGAAAAUGUUCCUGUUGACAUUUGAUUUUGCUGUACAUAACUUGGUUACUGGCAGACAUGAAGGAGACGAGUGUGGUGGACAGAAAUUGGCAAGGAGCCCUGGAUGGGAAGAUCUCAGCUCGCCGGCUCUCUCUGUAACCAGCUGAACUUCCAAGGACAGCACAUGACCUCUCAGAGCCUCAGUGUCCUCGCAUAUUGAAUAGAGGCAAUGAUGAAUCUCCUCCUGCGGUUUUGAUUCAAAUACAGAUUAUGAAAGUGUGAUGCCAAAACCAUACUUUCAAAUUUUGAAUGAAUUCAUUUCCUUAUUUAACUCUUCAACGUCUUGUCCUCUUACUUGGAAUAAAAUCUGGCACCUUUCCUAGUGACCUGCAUAACUUGGUUCCCUUCCUGCCCCUCCCCUGUAAUUCCUGGCACCUCCCCUCUUCCACUGGUUCAUCCAGACAGAAGACCACUCUUCUGGCAGCUCUUCCUUCAGCCUGGGUGCUUUGCUCUUGGGUUUUCAUCCUUCAGGACUCAGCGCAGAUGCUGCUUCUGAAGGGGUCUCUCCCCCGACGGGGGGCAGCGGGGGCCACUGACUCAUGGCCUUUCAGGAACAGGUCGUACACCUGUUUGCAGGUGGCUGUCUUCUGGCUGAUCAUCUGGGAUGUAAACCCCUUGCAGACAAGGAUUCUGAUCCUCCUGCUGCUGAGUUUCCAAGAGUCCACAGCAGCUAUAAGGUGUCUAAUAAUGUGUCCCGAAUAAUGAAGCUGCAGUGGCUGUGAAUGCCUAUUUAAAA